UACCCGCAGCACAAGUGGUGGUCAUUAUUAUUGGGCCUAAAGCGUCCGUAGCUGGCUUGUUAGAUGCCUGGGUAACUCGAUGCGCUUAACGCAUCGAAUUCCGGGUAGACCGGCAAGCUCGAGACCGGGAGAGGUGUAGGCUACUCAAGGGGUAGGGGUAAAAUCCUGUAAUCCGUCGGGGAGGACCAGUGGCGAAGGCGCUACACUAGAACGGCUCUGACAGUGAGGGACGAAGCCCUGGGGCGCAAACCGG
RNAcentral lists this ribosomal RNA (253 nucleotides) under uncultured bacterium. RNAcentral describes it as "partial 16S ribosomal RNA". It matches the Rfam family "Archaeal small subunit ribosomal RNA", at positions 474 to 727 of the family's 1478-position model. The record is from RNAcentral.